RNAcentral lists this ribosomal RNA (496 nucleotides) under uncultured bacterium. Its description in RNAcentral is "bacterial SSU rRNA". It matches the Rfam family "Bacterial small subunit ribosomal RNA", at positions 28 to 517 of the family's 1533-position model. The record is from RNAcentral.
GACGAACGCUGGCGGCGUGGAUUAGGCAUGCAAGUCGAACGGUAUCAUCCUUUCGGGGGUGAGAGAGUGGCGAACUGGUGAGUAACACGUAGGUUAUCUACCCUCAAGACGGGGACAACCCAGGGAAACUUGGGCUAAUACCGGAUGUGAGCAACUUUUAGUUGUUUGAAAGGUGGCGUAAGCUGUCGCUUGGGGAUGAGCCUGCGUCCUAUUAGUUAGUUGGUGAGGUAACGGCUCACCUAGGCAAUGAUAGGUAGGCGGCCUUAACGGGUGGUCGCCCACACUGGGAUUGAGAUACGGCCCAGACUCCUACGGGAGGCAGCAGUCGAGAAUAGUCUACAAUGGUCGGAAGACUGAUAGUGCGACGCCGCGUGAACGAUGAAUCCCUUCGGGGUGUAAAGUUCUUUUAUAUGUGAGCAGUGCUUCUUAUAUUAACAGUAUGGGGAAGAGAUAUUAGCAUAUGAAUAAGCAACGGCUAACUCCGUGCCAGCAGCCG